GAUGCGGUGGUCUAGCGGUUAGAACGCUGGCCUUGUAAUCCUGGGGUCUCGGGUUCGAUUCCCGGCGGUGCCC
RNAcentral lists this transfer RNA (73 nucleotides) under Zootermopsis nevadensis. It matches the Rfam family "tRNA". From Rfam's summary of the family: Transfer RNA (tRNA) molecules are approximately 80 nucleotides in length. The record is from Rfam by way of RNAcentral. Lineage: Eukaryota; Metazoa; Arthropoda; Insecta; Blattodea; Termopsidae.